Molecule: transfer RNA, 85 nt
Filed under: Felis catus (domestic cat)
Lineage: Eukaryota; Metazoa; Chordata; Mammalia; Carnivora; Felidae
Rfam family: tRNA
About the family: Transfer RNA (tRNA) molecules are approximately 80 nucleotides in length. Their secondary structure includes four short double-helical elements and three loops (D, anti-codon, and T loops).
Source: Rfam by way of RNAcentral
GCCUGGGUGGCUCAGUCGGUUGAGCGUCCGACUUCGGCUCGGGUCAUGAUCUCGCGGUCUGUGGGUUCGAGCCCCGCAGCGGGCU